This 939-nucleotide long non-coding RNA is filed under the name Coffea arabica (coffee). Its description in RNAcentral is "long non-coding RNA (CARA_LNC001930)". Lineage: Eukaryota; Viridiplantae; Streptophyta; Magnoliopsida; Gentianales; Rubiaceae. The record is from RNAcentral.
UACUACCAUCUGCACUGAUAAAACCGGCACCCUGACUUUAAAUCAGAUGCAAGUCACUGAAUUUUGGUUAGGCAAUGAGCCGAUGAAGGGAAAGACACCAACAGACAUAGCACCUGAUGUUGGUCAACUGCUGCAAGAAAGUAUUGGCUUAAACAGUACUGGUGAGAUUUAUACUUCACCUUCUUCACCAAAUCCAGAGAUUACUGGUAACCCAACAGAGUCAGCCAUCCUUAAUUGGGCUGUAUUUGAUAUGAAAAUGGAUAUCAACACAACAAAGCAAGAGUAUGAAAAGCUCCAUGUUGAAGUUUUCAAUUCAGAGAAGAAAAGAAGUGGGGUUUUAGUGAGGAAAAAUCAUUCGGAGACAGUUCGUGUGCAUUGGAAAGGAGCAGCUGAAAUGAUUCUGGCCAGGUGUUCAAACUACUACAUGGAAAAUGGUACAGUUAAGGCCAUAGAUGAUGAAGAGAGAAAACAGCUUGAAAUAAUAAUUGAAAAGAUGGCAGGUAAGAGUCUUCGCUGCAUUGCUUUUGCUUUCAAAAGCAUUGCAGGACAUGGUGUCAUUUGCGAGAAUCUUCCAGACACUCAAUUAACAUUACUGGGGUUGGUGGGUUUAAAGGAUCCAUGCAGGCCAGAGGUUAAAGCAGCAGUAAAAUCGUGCAGAAAAGCUGGAGUGAACAUAAAAGUAAUCACUGGAGACAACAUGUUUACAGCAAAAUCAAUAGCCAUAGAGUGCGGAAUUUUAAAUGGUAAUGAGGACUUGGAAGAUACAGCUGUUGAAGGAAUAACUUUCAGAAAUUAUUCACCUGAAGAAAGAAUGGCAAAAAUUGAUCGGAUCCUUCUUAUGGCAAGAUCAUCUCCUUUUGACAAGCUAUUGAUGGUACAGAGUUUAAAGCAGAAAGGUCAUGUGGUAGCAGUAACUGGUGAUGGCACAAAUGAUGCACC